RNAcentral lists this ribosomal RNA (253 nucleotides) under uncultured bacterium. Its description in RNAcentral is "partial 16S ribosomal RNA". It matches the Rfam family "Bacterial small subunit ribosomal RNA", at positions 524 to 776 of the family's 1533-position model. The record is from RNAcentral.
UACGGAGGGGUCUAGCGUUGUUCGGAAUUACUGGGCGUAAAUCGCGCGUAGGCGGCCCUGCAAGUCGGGGGUGAAAGCCCGAGGCUUAACCUCGGAACUGCCUUUGAUACUGCGGGUCUCGAGUCCGGGAGAGGUGAGUGGAAUUCCUUGUGUAGAGGUGAAAUUCGUAGAUAUUAGGAAGAACACCAGUGGCGAAGGCGGCGCACUGGACCGGUACUGACGCUGAGGCGCGAAAGUGUGGGGAGCAAACAGG